CGGGGUGUAGCAUAAUAGGAUAAUGCACCGACCUUCUAAGUCGGCUUACGUGGGUUCGACUCCCUCCGUCCCGA
RNAcentral lists this transfer RNA (74 nucleotides) under Yersinia phage phiR1-37. It matches the Rfam family "tRNA". From Rfam's summary of the family: Transfer RNA (tRNA) molecules are approximately 80 nucleotides in length. Their secondary structure includes four short double-helical elements and three loops (D, anti-codon, and T loops). The record is from Rfam by way of RNAcentral. Lineage: Duplodnaviria; Heunggongvirae; Uroviricota; Caudoviricetes.